RNAcentral lists this ribosomal RNA (946 nucleotides) under uncultured archaeon. RNAcentral describes it as "bacterial SSU rRNA". It matches the Rfam family "Archaeal small subunit ribosomal RNA", at positions 1 to 923 of the family's 1478-position model. The record is from RNAcentral.
UUCCCGGUGAUCCCGCCGGACCCCACUGCUAUCGGGAUAGGACUAAGACAUGCUAGUCGAGCGCCUCCCAGCCACGACGGAGGCGCGGCGCACAGCUCAGUAACACGUGGCUAACCUGCCCUCGGGACGGGAAUACCCCCGGGAAACUGGGGCUAAUCCCCGAUAGGUGAAGAACUCUGGAAUGAGUCUCCGCCCAAAAGACGCUUAAAUCAUGCUUUUAGGCGCCGCCCAAGGAUGGGGCCGCGACCGAUCAGGUAGUUGGUGAGGCAACGGCUCACCAAGCCUUUAACCGGUGCGGGCCGUGGGAGCGGGAGCCCGGAGAUGGGCACUGAGACAAGGGCCCAGGCCCUACGGGGCGCAGCAGUCGCGAAAACUUUGCAAUACACGAAAGUGUGACAGGGCUAUCCCGAGUGCCAUCCGCUGAGGAAGGCUUUUACCCAGUAUAGAAAGCUGGGAGAAUAAGGAGAGGGCAAGUCUGGUGUCAGCCGCCGCGGUAAUACCAGCUCUCCGAGUGGUGUGGAUGUUUAUUGGGCCUAAAGCAUCCGUAGCUGGCCAAGUUAGUCCCCUGUUAAAUCCACCGAAUUAAUCGUUGGAGUGCGGGGGAUACUGCUCGGCUAGGGGACGAGAGAGGCCGACGGUAUUUUCGGGGUAGGGGUGAAAUCCUAUAAUCCCGGAAAGACCACCAGUGGCGAAGGCUGUCGGCUAGAACGCGCCCGACGGUGAGGGAUGAAAGCUGGGGGAGCGAACCGGAUUAGAUACCCGGGUAGUCCCAGCUGUAAACGAUGCAGGCUAGGUGUUUGGGCGGCCACGGGCCGCUCUAGUGCCGCAGGGAAGCCGUUAAGCCUGCCGCCUGGGGAGUACGGCCGCAAGGCUGAAACUUAAAGGAAUUGGCGGGGGAGCACCACAAGGGGUGAAGCUUGCGGUUUAAUUGGAGUCAACGCCGGGA